UAGGGAUACUGAUAAGAAGAGAGGGGGUGGGAUAGAGAAUGGAGGGGGCAGCGGAGAGAACAGAACAGCCCUCUUUUUGUUCCAGCCUCUAUACUCCCAUCCCUUUGCUUCCUUUUUUACCUUGAUCU
This is a non-coding RNA of Pelobates cultripes (western spadefoot toad), 128 nucleotides long. The record is from the annotation of a GenBank genome assembly. NCBI's taxonomy places the organism in Eukaryota, Metazoa, Chordata, Amphibia, Anura, Pelobatidae.